Molecule: signal recognition particle RNA, 299 nt
Filed under: Saimiri boliviensis boliviensis (Bolivian squirrel monkey)
Lineage: Eukaryota; Metazoa; Chordata; Mammalia; Primates; Cebidae
Description: Metazoan signal recognition particle RNA (ENSSBOG00000000554.1)
Rfam family: Metazoan signal recognition particle RNA
About the family: The signal recognition particle (SRP) is a universally conserved ribonucleoprotein. It is involved in the co-translational targeting of proteins to membranes. The eukaryotic SRP consists of a 300-nucleotide 7S RNA and six proteins: SRPs 72, 68, 54, 19, 14, and 9.
Source: RNAcentral
GCUGGGCGCGGUGGUGCAUGCCUGUACUCCCAGCUACUCAGGAGGCUGAGGUGGGAGGAUUUAUUGAGCCCAGGAGUUCUGGGCUGUAGUGCGCUACGCCAUUCGGGUGUCUGCACUAAGUUCGGCAUCAAUAUGGUGACCUCCCAGGAGCCAGGGACCACCAGGUUACCUAAGGAGGGGUGAACUGGCCCAGGAGGGAAACAGAGCAGGUCAAAACUCCUUUGCUGAUUAGUAGUGGUAUCCUAACUGUGAAUAGCCACUGCACUCCAGCCUGCGCAACAUAGCCAGACCCCGUCUCU